CUUCACAUAACCACAUGUUUUAGGUAAAUAUUUCAUUAUGAUCUUUUUGGUGUGCAUCUUUUCAUUUCUUCUUUCAACAAUUUGUACUCCUUUUUUUCCUUGAAAAAUAGGAGAGGUUAAUAAGAUAUUCUGAAAACUGAAAUAGCAAUGCAUAGCCAAUCCUCAUGUGUCACAUGUGCAAACCGCACAAACUUGUAAGUUUCAUAAAACCAAAAGAGAUUUCGAAUUCGGACAUGCUAAAUGAUUUCUACCAAGACUUAAAGAUGUGCUUCCAAGUUCGUUAGAGAAUUUAGCUCAAGGUACAUGCAUGGGACUGAUGGAAGAACAAGAAUGCAAGGGCAUUAUCCUAGCUAGAUUGAUAAGUGAUAAUUGUAUAUCAGGUUUCCUCCUCCGGCAGCUCAACAGUGUCUACCUCCUGGAAGUAUGCUCUCUGCUUCUUGACAAAACCUUCUGGGGUUUGUUGUAGAUGGAUGCCGUGGCACCGGCUGACUGGGACCUUGGGAAGAUGGCACAAGGAGGAGCUGUGGUGACAAAUCAAUCAUUGUAUUGUCAAACUUGAGACCAUGUUACAGUAACUUGCAAGUACAACAUAAUCAUUCCAUUCCUCAUCAAUUCAGUGAGGUAGAAGAGAAGCCUUGGCAGGUUCAACCACAAAGGAGUCAAGAACAGCACAAUGCUACAGAGGAACAGCUUACAGUAUAAUAUGAAGGCCUAAUGGGCAAGUUGACUGAAGUUUGCACACAAAGAGCUAAGAAACAUUGGGCUCUUCAUGAAGGCAGGAACAAAACAAUUUUGUUAUUGCGCUGGGCUAGACUUGGGUUUGUUUUAGAUGGAUGUUGUGGCACCUUCUCAGAAAUGCACCUUGAGAAGAUGGCGCAAGGAGGAGCUGUGAGGACAAGUCAAUCACUGUAUUGAGACUGGAGACCAAGUUACAAUAAGUUGCAGGUUCAACGUAAUCAUUCCAUUUCUCAUCAUUCAGCGAGGUAGAAGAACAGCCUUGGCAGAUUGAACUACAAAGGAAUCAAGAACAGCACGGUGCUACAGAGGAACAGCUUACAGUACAAUAUGAAGGCCUAAUGGGCAAGUUGACUGAAGUUUACACACAAAGAGCUAAGAAACAUUGGGCUCUUCAUAAAGGCAGGAACAAAACAAUUUUGUUAUCGUGCUGUGCUCAAGGGGAGGAAGAAGAGAAUAAUUAACAUUUACUAUAUAUAUGCGUGAAUAUAUGGCCAAAGCGUAUGAUCGAUUGGAAUGGGUA
Hordeum vulgare subsp. vulgare (domesticated barley) is the source of this 1258-nucleotide long non-coding RNA. RefSeq lists it as uncharacterized. The record is from RefSeq and is a predicted model, not a curated record. Lineage: Eukaryota; Viridiplantae; Streptophyta; Magnoliopsida; Poales; Poaceae. The transcript has 4 exons.